Molecule: long non-coding RNA, 457 nt
Filed under: Citrus x clementina
Lineage: Eukaryota; Viridiplantae; Streptophyta; Magnoliopsida; Sapindales; Rutaceae
Description: Citrus clementina (C. clementina) long non-coding RNA (CCLE_LNC003478)
Source: RNAcentral
UUUUUACUGUUAUUUUCAUUUUAUAACUGUUGACAAUUGAUCACGCUGUAAAAAAUUUAAUAGUGGUCUUUCACUUAUUUGUGUUCAUUUAUUUUGUUUUCAUUUAUUUCAUUUGAAAAAUUUGAGUGUUGAGGUUUUGUCCAUAACCCAUGGGUAAACCAUACCCAAACCAUAAUAAAAUGGUUUUCUACAUAAAACCCACAUCUAACCCAUUUUCAUGAUUUACCCAACCCAAACCAUUUAAUUUGGUUUGAGUUUGGAUAAACCCAUGGGUUGUGGGUUUAUGCCCACCCCUAUAUACAACUAUACAUGAAACCAAUCAUAUUUUUCCUACACAAUUUCCUCACAUGUGUUCUGGCGGUAAAUCUAAAAAUGUAGCAGGAUCUGCCCAGAAAAAAUUCAAUAAUAUCUCUUAAUUUUUUUCUAAUUUUUCAUGUAAUAAUAGAGCUUUUAUUUU